GUGGGUUACUCCGCACGAGCGCACCUCACUUUUAGUUGCCAUCAUUAGUUGGGCACUCUGUAAAGAACUGCCAGUGAUAAGCUGGAGGAAGGUGGGGAUGACGUCAAGUCCUCAUGGCCCUUACGUGUCGGGCUACACACGUGCUACAAUGGUAUCUACAACAGGAGGCAAAACGGCGACGUUAAGCAAAUCCUUAAAAGAUACCUCAGUUCGGAUUGCACUCUGCAACUCGAGUGCAUGAAGCUGGAAUUACUAGUAAUCGUGGAUCAGCGUGCCACGGUGAAUGCGUUCCCGGGUCUUGUACACACCGCCCGUCACACCAUGGGAGUUGGUUCUACCUUAAGGCAAGGUUUCAAACCCUUGACCACGGUAUAGUCAGCGACUGGGGUGAAGUCGUAACAAGGUAGCCGUAGGGGAACCUGCGGCUGGAUUACCUCCUUUCU
Molecule: ribosomal RNA, 443 nt
Filed under: uncultured Pelagibacterales bacterium
Lineage: Bacteria; Pseudomonadati; Pseudomonadota; Alphaproteobacteria; Candidatus Pelagibacterales
Description: bacterial SSU rRNA
Rfam family: Bacterial small subunit ribosomal RNA
Source: RNAcentral